This 497-nucleotide ribosomal RNA is filed under the name uncultured bacterium. RNAcentral's name for it is "partial 16S ribosomal RNA". It matches the Rfam family "Bacterial small subunit ribosomal RNA", at positions 28 to 507 of the family's 1533-position model. The record is from RNAcentral.
GAUGAACGCUGGCGGCGUGCCUAAUACAUGCAAGUCGAGCGAACGGACGAGAAGCUUUCUUCUCUGAUGUUAGCGGCGGACGGGUGAGGAACACGUGGAUAACCUACCUAUAAGACUGGGAUAACUUCGGGAAACCGGAGCUAAGACCGGAUAAUAUUUUGAACCGCAUGGUUCAAGAGUGAAAGACGGUCUUGCUGUCACUAAUAGAUGGAUCCGCGCUGCAUUCGCUAGUUGGUAAGGUAACGGCUUACCAAGGCAACGAUGCAUAGCCGACCUGAGAGGGUGAUCGCCCACACUGGAACUGAGGCACGGUCCAGACUCCUGCGGGAGGCAGCAGUAGGGAAUCUUCCGCAAUGGGCGAAAGCCUGACGGAGCACCGCCGCGUGAGUGAUGAAGGUCCUAGGAUCGUAAAGCUCUGCUAUUAGGAAAGAACAUAAGUGUAAGUAACUGUGCAGAUCUUGACGGUACCUAAUCAGAAAGCCCCGGCUAACUACGUG